Molecule: ribosomal RNA, 403 nt
Filed under: Verrucomicrobiota bacterium
Lineage: Bacteria; Pseudomonadati; Verrucomicrobiota
Description: Verrucomicrobia bacterium partial 16S ribosomal RNA
Rfam family: Bacterial small subunit ribosomal RNA
Source: RNAcentral
UGGGGAAUAUUGCACAAUGGAGGGAACUCUGAUGCAGCGACGCCGCGUGAACGAAGAAGGCUUUCGAGUCGUAAAGUCCUUUUAUAUGGGAAGAUAAUGACGGUACCAUAAGAAAAAGCCCCGGCUAACUACGUGCCAGCAGCCGCGGUAAUACGUAGGGGGCUAGCGUUGUCCGGAAUCACUGGGCGUAAAGGGUUCGCAGGCGGAAAUGCAAGUCAGGUGUAAAAGGCAGUAGCUUAACUACUGUAAGCAUUUGAAACUGCAUAUCUUGAGAAGAGUAGAGGUAAGUGGAAUUUUUAGUGUAGCGGUAAAAUGCGUAGAUAUUAAAAAGAAUACCGGUGGCGAAGGCGACUUACUGGGCUCAUUCUGACGCUGAGGAACGAAAGCGUGGGUAGCAAACAGG